GGUUAUACUGUUACUCCUCUCAGUUCCAGACAGGUUAUACUGUUACUCCUCUCAGUUCCAGACAGGACAGGUUAUACUGUUACUCCUCUCAGUUCCAGACAGAACAGGUUAUGCUGUUACUCCUCUCAAUUCCAGACAGGACAGGUUAUACUGUUACUCCUCUCAGUUCCAGACAGGACAGGUUAUACUGUUACUCCUCUCAGUUCCAGACAGGACAGGUUAUACUGUUACUCCUCUCAGUUCCAGACAGAACAGGUUAUGCUGUUACUCCUCUCAAUUCCAGACAGGACAGGUUAUACUGUUACUCCUCUCAGUUCCAGACAGGACAGGUUAUACUGUUACUCCUCUGUUCCAGACAGGACAG
Long non-coding RNA from Oncorhynchus kisutch (coho salmon), 364 nucleotides. RefSeq lists it as uncharacterized. Lineage: Eukaryota; Metazoa; Chordata; Actinopteri; Salmoniformes; Salmonidae. The transcript has 3 exons. The record is from RefSeq and is a predicted model, not a curated record.